This 250-nucleotide unclassified non-coding RNA is filed under the name plant metagenome. RNAcentral describes it as "partial contains small subunit ribosomal RNA, internal transcribed spacer 1, and 5.8S ribosomal RNA". The stretch from base 202 to 250 matches the Rfam family "5.8S ribosomal RNA", at positions 1 to 49 of the family's 154-position model. The record is from RNAcentral.
GUAGGUGAACCUGCGGAAGGAUCAUUCAUAAUCAAGUGUUUUUAUGGCACUUUAAAAAUCCAUAUCCACCUUGUGUGCAAUGUCAUCUCACUGGAAGGUCACGGCUGUAAAAAUCCGGCGGCCAACCUUUGGGAUUUAUAUCUACUCAGAACUUUAGUGAUUUUGUCUGAAACAUAUUAUGAAUAACUUAAUUCAAAAUACAACUUUCAACAACGGAUCUCUUGGCUCUCGCAUCGAUGAAGAACGCAGC